Molecule: ribosomal RNA, 306 nt
Filed under: Glacies noricana
Lineage: Eukaryota; Metazoa; Arthropoda; Insecta; Lepidoptera; Geometridae
Description: partial 12S ribosomal RNA
Source: RNAcentral
AGUAUUUAAUUAUUUAUUGAACUUAAAUAUUUUGGCGGUAUUUUAGUUUAUUUAGAGGAAUCUGUUUAUUAAUUGAUAAUCCACGAAUAAAUUUACUUAAUUUAUUAUUUUGUAUAUCAUUGUUAGAAAAAUAUUUUUAAAUGAUAAUAAUAUUUUAAAAUUAUAAUAAAAAUUAAAUCAAAUCAAGAUGCAGAUUAUAAUUAAGAAUAUAAUGGAUUACAAUAAAUUUAUUUAUAUGAAUUUUAAUUUGGAAUAAUUAAAUAAAGGUGGAUUUAAAUGUAAUUUUAUUUAUUUUAAUAGAAUGAU